AACGAACGCUGGCGGCGUGCUUAACACAUGCAAGUCGAACGGUGACGCGCCAUCCUUUUUGGUGGGUGUGGAUGAGUGGCGAACGGGUGAGUAACACGUUCGUAACCUGCCCCCUUCUUCUGGAUAACCGCAUGAAAGUGUGGCUAAUACGGGAUAUUCUGGGUCUGUCGCAUGAUGGGUCUGGGAAAGAUAUUGUUUCGGUGGGGGAUGGGCUCGCGGCGUAUCAGCUAGGGGGCGGGGUGAUGGCCUACCAAGGCGGCGACGGGUAGCCGGUCUGAGGGGCUGAUGAGCAACACGGGGACUGAGACACGGUCCAGACUCCUACGGGAGGCAGCAGUGGGGAAUAUUGGACGAUGGGGGCGAGCCUGAUGCAGCCAUACCGCGUGGGUGAAGAAGGCCUUCUGGUUGUGAAGCCCUUUUGUUGGGAAAGAAAAGCAGCAGGUUAAUAACCCGAUGUUCUGACGGUACCCAAAGAAUAAGCACCGGCUAACUUCGUG
RNAcentral lists this ribosomal RNA (497 nucleotides) under uncultured bacterium. Its description in RNAcentral is "partial 16S ribosomal RNA". It matches the Rfam family "Bacterial small subunit ribosomal RNA", at positions 28 to 507 of the family's 1533-position model. The record is from RNAcentral.